This 24-nucleotide non-coding RNA is filed under the name Arabidopsis thaliana (thale cress). The record is from RNAcentral. Lineage: Eukaryota; Viridiplantae; Streptophyta; Magnoliopsida; Brassicales; Brassicaceae.
UUUCAACAAUAUAGUUUUCUUAUU